AUUGAACGCUGGCGGCCGGCCUAACACAUGCAAGUCGAACGCGUGGCGGACGGGUGAGUACUGUCUGUGAAACUGCCUGAUGGAGGGGGAUAAUUACUGGAACCGGUACCUAAUACCGAAUACCUUCGGAUGUGCCCAGAUGGGAUUGGUUAGUAGGGGGGGUAACGGCUCACAUGGGCGACGAUCCCUAGCUGGUCUGAGAGGAUGACCAGCCCCACUGGAACUGAGACACGGUCCAGACUCCUAGGGGAGGCAGCAGUGGGGAAUAUUGCACAAUGGGCGCAAGCCUGAGGCAGCCAUGCCGCGUGUAUGAUGAAGGCCUUCGGGUUGUAAAGUACUUUCAGCGGGGAGGCGUUACCCGCAGAAAAGGGACCGGCUAACUCCGUGCCAGCAGCCGCGGUAAUAC
RNAcentral lists this ribosomal RNA (406 nucleotides) under uncultured bacterium. Its description in RNAcentral is "partial 16S ribosomal RNA". It matches the Rfam family "Bacterial small subunit ribosomal RNA", at positions 30 to 526 of the family's 1533-position model. The record is from RNAcentral.